Molecule: ribosomal RNA, 110 nt
Filed under: Caerostris darwini
Lineage: Eukaryota; Metazoa; Arthropoda; Arachnida; Araneae; Araneidae
Source: RNAcentral
CAAUUAUACCAUGCUGAAUAUACCGGUUCUCGUUAGAUCACCGAAGUUAAGCAUCAUUGGGCGCGGUCGGUACUUGGGUGGGUGACCACCUGGGAACACUGCGUGCCGUU